AAGUCGAACGGACCCUUCGGGGUUAGUGGCGGACGGGUGAGUAACACGUGGGAACGUGCCCUUUGGUUCGGAACAACUCAGGGAAACUUGAGCUAAUACCGAAUGUGCCCUUCGGGGGGAAGAUUUAUCGCCAUUGGAGCGGCCCGCGUUGGAUUAGCUAGUUGGUGAGGUAAAGGCUCACCAAGGCUACGAUCCAUAGCUGGUCUGAGAGGAUGAUCAGCCACACUGGGACUGAGACACGGCCCAGACUCCUACGGGAGGCAGCAGUUAGGAAUCUUGCGCAAUGGGCGAAAGCCUGACGCAGCCAUGCCGCGUGAAUGAUGAAGGUCUUAGGAUUGUAAAAUUCUUUCAGCGGGGACGAUAAUGACGGUACCCGCAGAAGAAGCUCCGGCUAACUUCGUGCCAGCAGCCGCGGUAAUACGAAGGGGGCUAGCGUUGCUCGGAAUUACUGGGCGUAAAGGGCGCGUAGGCGGACAACUAAGUCAGAGGUGAAAGCCCAGGGCUCAACCUUGGAACUGCCUUUGAUACUGGCUGUCUUGAGUUCGGGAGAGGUGUGUGGAACUCCGAGUGUAGAGGUGAAAUUCGUAGAUAUUCGGAAGAACACCAGUGGCGAAGGCGACACACUGGCCC
Molecule: ribosomal RNA, 630 nt
Filed under: uncultured Alphaproteobacteria bacterium
Lineage: Bacteria; Pseudomonadati; Pseudomonadota; Alphaproteobacteria
Description: bacterial SSU rRNA
Rfam family: Bacterial small subunit ribosomal RNA
Source: RNAcentral